Molecule: long non-coding RNA, 884 nt
Filed under: Panax ginseng (ginseng)
Lineage: Eukaryota; Viridiplantae; Streptophyta; Magnoliopsida; Apiales; Araliaceae
Description: long non-coding RNA (PGIN_LNC013038)
Source: RNAcentral
UACUAAAUAAUAAUACAUUCGAACUUAAUUUACAUACAUCAAAGUUUACUUCCCCAGGUACGUGACCUUCAAAUACAUUCCUUACAAUACCUGACAAUAGAUUCCAUUGUCUUACUAACUAUAACCAUUAACUCAUAAUAUAAACUCAUUCGAACAACUUUCCUUUCCCCUUGUUCGUGCCUGAUCCUUCAGGUUGAUCGUACGGAACUGAAAAACAUUUAGUUUAAGCAAGGAUGAGCAUUUGAGUGCCCAACAAGUAAUAGCAAUUAUAUAUAUAAGCUGAAAGAAUAUAAGUAUUCUCUUUACAUAACACUUCUACAACGAAUCGAAAGUUGUGAAGUAAUCUGUACUGAUAAAAAAAUUCACAUAACAACUCUCUUUCAAUUUCUUGAAAUUAGGUUCCACCCAUGAAUAGGGUUUAAGAAACAUACUAUGAACAUUCUUUUUCAUUUUCGAAAAGGUUUAGCAGAAAUUCAUCCGCAAACCGCUCUAGCUUACGGGUACGGAGGGUGAUCAGCCCCGUUGUACCCUGUAUUGAUCAAUACUACAUAACUUGAAUGAAAUUCAUCGCUCACUCUGUCCGCCUUGGGCGCAAAAAUCUUCCCAUAUAGGGAUGUUCAUACAUGCCUGGUUCCAAACCCGAAGGUUUUUAAUCCUGCUCAACAAUAAUAUUUAUAAUUCAACAUAUAUGUAUACGGGUAAUUGACAAAGGUAUAUCAAAAUGUGAAUAAAUGCCAUGAUUAUCCAAGUGGGGACACUUGUAUAACCAUUUAGAAAUCAACUUAACAGAAUAUAUAUCUGAGCUAACAUGUUGAUAAUCAAAGCGUACAUAAUCUGUACAGGAAUAGAAUAAUUCUGAAACUUCUUACUCAUGUCCAUUGCAU